GUCAGGAUGGACAAGCGGUCUAAGGCGCUGCGUUAAGAUUGCAAUUUCCCCUGGAGGCGUGGGUUCAAAUGCCACUUCCGACA
Non-coding RNA from Danio rerio (zebrafish), 83 nucleotides. NCBI's taxonomy places the organism in Eukaryota, Metazoa, Chordata, Actinopteri, Cypriniformes, Danionidae. The record is from Rfam.